Octopus sinensis (East Asian common octopus) is the source of this 193-nucleotide long non-coding RNA. RefSeq lists it as uncharacterized. The transcript has 4 exons. Lineage: Eukaryota; Metazoa; Mollusca; Cephalopoda; Octopoda; Octopodidae. The record is from RefSeq and is a predicted model, not a curated record.
UGUGUGUGUGUGUAUACAGACAUUGUAAUAGAACAUAGAGGCUCAGUUAAUAACAUAGAUGUUAAGGUAUUAUCAAUGCAUAGAACUGACACAACACUUAGAUAGAUUACAGAGGCCACACACAUACUAAUAGACAGACCAAGCCUUAACAGAAAAUACAAAUGGAAUAAUAACACCACCACCACCACACCAU